Molecule: ribosomal RNA, 445 nt
Filed under: uncultured bacterium
Lineage: Bacteria
Description: partial 16S ribosomal RNA
Rfam family: Bacterial small subunit ribosomal RNA
Source: RNAcentral
GUGAGGAAUAUUGCGCAAUGGAGGCAACUCUGACGCAGCCAUGCCGCGUGCAGGAAGAAGGCGCUACGCGUUGUAAACUGCUUUUAACCGGGAAGAAACCCCAGGACGUGUCCUGGGUUGACGGUACCGGAGGAAUAAGCACCGGCUAACUUCGUGCCAGCAGCCGCGGUAAUACGAAGGGUGCAAGCGUUAUCCGGAUUCAUUGGGUUUAAAGGGUGCGUAGGCGGAGCGUUAAGUCAGUGGUGAAAUCCUGCAGCUUAACUGUAGACUUGCCAUUGAUACUGGCGCUCUUGAUUGCGCUUGAAGUGGGCGGAAUGUGCCGUGUAGCGGUGAAAUGCUUAGAUAUGGCACAGAACACCAAUUGCGAAGGCAGCUCACUAAGGCGAUACUGACGCUGAGGCACGAAAGCGUGGGGAUCGAACAGGAUUAGAUACCCGAGUAGUCC